UGAGUAACACGUAUCCAACCUUCCAUUAACUCGGGGAUAGCCUUUCGAAAGAAAGAUUAAUACCCGAUAGUAUAGCAUUUCCUCCUGGUUUUGCUAUUAAAGAAUUUCGGUUAUUGAUGGGGAUGCGUUCCAUUAGUUUGUUGGCGGGGUAACGGCCCACCAAGACUUCGAUGGAUAGGGGUUCUGAGAGGAAGGUCCCCCACAUUGGAACUGAGACACGGUCCAAACUCCUACGGGAGGCAGCAGUGAGGAAUAUUGGUCAAUGGACGGGAGUCUGAACCAGCCAAGUAGCGUGAAGGAUGAAGGCUCUAUGGGUCGUAAACUUCUUUUAUACGGGAAUAAAGUGAACCACGUGUGGUUUUUUGUAUGUACCGUAUGAAUAAGGAUCGGCUAACUCCGUGCCAGCAGCCGCGGUAAUACGGAGGAUCCGAGCGUUAUCCGGAUUUAUUGGGUUUAAAGGGAGCGUAGGCGGGUACUUAAGUCAGUUGUGAA
This 492-nucleotide ribosomal RNA is filed under the name uncultured bacterium. RNAcentral's name for it is "bacterial SSU rRNA". It matches the Rfam family "Bacterial small subunit ribosomal RNA", at positions 107 to 598 of the family's 1533-position model. The record is from RNAcentral.